UACGAAGGGGGCUAGCGUUGCUCGGAAUCACUGGGCGUAAAGCGCACGUAGGCGGAUCUUUAAGUCAGGGGUGAAAUCCUGGAGCUCAACUCCAGAACUGCCUUUGAUACUGGGGAUCUCGAGUCCGGGAGAGGUGAGUGGAACUCCGAGUGUAGAGGUGAAAUUCGUAGAUAUUCGCAAGAACACCAGUGGCGAAGGCGGCUCACUGGCCCGGUACUGACGCUGAGGAGCGAAAGCGUGGGGAGCGAACAGG
RNAcentral lists this ribosomal RNA (253 nucleotides) under uncultured bacterium. RNAcentral describes it as "partial 16S ribosomal RNA". It matches the Rfam family "Bacterial small subunit ribosomal RNA", at positions 524 to 776 of the family's 1533-position model. The record is from RNAcentral.